Molecule: ribosomal RNA, 486 nt
Filed under: uncultured Proteiniphilum sp.
Lineage: Bacteria; Pseudomonadati; Bacteroidota; Bacteroidia; Bacteroidales; Dysgonomonadaceae
Description: bacterial SSU rRNA
Rfam family: Bacterial small subunit ribosomal RNA
Source: RNAcentral
UCAGAAACUCAAAGGAUUGACGGGGCCGCACAAGCGGAGGACAUGUGGUUUAAUUCGAUGAUACGCGAGGAACCUUUACCCGGGCUUGAAAUGCAUCUGACCGGCCUUGAAAGAGGCACUCCCUUCGGGGCAGAUGUGUAGGUGCUGCAUGGUUGUCGUCAGCUCGUGCCGUGAGGUGUCGGCUUAAGUGCCAUAACGAGCGCAACCCUCAUCAUUAGUUACCAUCAGGUAAGGCUGGGGACUCUAAUGAGACUGCCAUCGUAAGAUGUGAGGAAGGUGGGGAUGACGUCAAAUCAGCACGGCCCUUACGUCCGGGGCGACACACGUGUUACAAUGGGUGGUACAAAGGGCAGCUACCUGGCGACAGGAUGCUAAUCUCGAAAACCGCUCUCAGUUCGGAUCGGAGUCUGCAACUCGACUCCGUGAAGCUGGAUUCGCUAGUAAUCGCGCAUCAGCCACGGCGCGGUGAAUACGUUCCCGGGCCUU